Gallus gallus (chicken) is the source of this 1997-nucleotide long non-coding RNA. The record is from Ensembl. Lineage: Eukaryota; Metazoa; Chordata; Aves; Galliformes; Phasianidae.
GAAUCUUUCCACAUCUGCAUUUUUUCUGGCAGCAAAUAGACUUCUCUCUUGUGAGCAUGCUAUUGAUGCUCUUCUUCAGCACUAACACACAUCUAAUGUGAGGGAAGGAUAUCCUUGUUUAGAUUUGCUCACUCCUACAUCCUCUGCAUUUAGCAAUCUGCCAGGGAGCAGGUGCAGCAUCUGACAAAUGCCUUGCUGCAGUUUCCGCCUCCUCUGCAUCCCUUCAGCUUCUGUUUUUUAGUGGAUUGAUAUAUGGGGUCUCCCAUGUGAGCAUUGCAGAUGGAGGGCUGUGAGGCUGAGGCAUCUACACUGCUUUACAACCAGCAUUACAGCACAAGAGUGGUCUUACAGCAGUGAUACAUCCCGAAUCUGAGCUGUGUGAUGAAGCGAGGCCGCACGGCAGUCAUCACCCAUUCCUACAGCAGGCUUCCAAAUACAAACUGAAAAUAUAGCAUCAGGACAGUGGUUUCACCCAAGUCAGGUUCACAGGUCUAUCCACCAUCUGGAGCAAUUACAAGGUGGCUGGAAAGCCAUGGAAAUACUGUUCCCAAAGAAAGGACGUCCACUAGUGGAGGCACGGGUCCAUCCCAGAACCCUCACUCAUACCUCCAGGACAGUGAUGUGCUUCUCCACUAAGAUGCAGAAUGGAAGGGUCUGAGGACCUGAUGUUAACAUUUUUAGACAGGUAUCUCUUGGGGUCCAUCAUGUUUCUGGCAGUGUAACAGGAGAAACACCUUUGAGCUCCAACCUCUCUUUGGGAUUGUAACAGCAGCUGCAGGUUAUACAGAAGUCACUUAAAUGCUUAAAAUAAAUGUAUUAAUUGAGACCCAGAAACAGUUUUUACCAAAGACUUUAGCUUGUCUAACUUAAAAAGAAGUGGGAGCUGGCUGUUCACAAAAUGGUUUGCAGAGCUGGGUACAUAAUUUCUCCUCUAACAAAUCAUAGAAUCACAGAAUGGCCUGGGUUGAAAAGGACCACAGUGCUCAUCUCGUUCCAACCCCCUGCUAUGUGCAGGGUUGCCAGCCAGCAGACCAGGCUGCCCAGAGCCACGUCCAGCCUGGCCUUGAAUGCCUGCAGGGAUGGGGCAUCCACAGCCUCCUUGGGCAACCUGUUCAGUGCGUCACCACCCUCUGGGGGAAAAACUCCUCCUCCUCAUAUCUAACUGAAAUGGCAGCAAGUGUGACAGUUCUCUUUAAUGCAAAAGGGAGAUAGGGAUGAAGACCUCUAAGAUGUUUAGAUCUCUCUAUAAGGGCUUUUAGAGAUGAAAUCCCUGGUAAUGGCAAUGUAACAAUAUUUGGCAGCAGAAACAAGGUCACUGAAGCAUCCUUUGCCAUGCUGCAUGGGUCAUUCUGGUGCCUGUUCACCCCUUUGGAGGCUGAGGGUCACAGCAGUGAUGCACUGACCUGCAGCCCUGAGCCUGCUGGGGCUGUGGUGCUCUGUGGAUUCAUCUCCUGCUCCAUGCCGUUAAUGUAAAAGGGAGGAAUGCAAGAAAGGCCAUUGUCCCCACAUUGCCAGCUGGCCCAGCAGCUGGUGGAGAAGGAAAGUGCCUUAACAUCACAUGAGAAAAAAAACAAAGGGGGAUUUUCAAUGUUUAUGAUAGACUUUGCAAGUCCCAGAGUUAAUGAAAUUGCCCAGGAAACCCAAGUAGCUGCUGAGAAAGUGCUGAAGAAGCUCUUGAAGAAAUCCCAUUUCAAUUUGCUUAUUUAAGUUACUUGUAAAAAGACCUCUUUGUUAUCUAAUCUGUUGAUGAGUUCAGACACUUUCUGGAACGAUUGCUUGCAUAAUUUACUUUAUUGGUACAUUAUUUAAAAGUUCUCUUUCAGCUUCAGGCCAGGGGUUUGGCAGUCAGUCUUACACAAUGGGAAGUUGGUGUCACUUCGUGUCAGAGCAAUCAGGAGCAUUGGUGACAAUCCAGAGUUUGCCACAAAAGCUGCAGUGUAACCAGAGCAUUGUAGGGAGAAACCCUUAUUGGCAGGCAGAUAAUGUUUUGCAUGAGG